UACUAGCCCCGAUUGCAGUGACAUCCUUUUUCUGAGUGGCCUCAGCCUGGCGAAAAAGAUAUAGCGGAAAGCGGGAAUAAGC
Molecule: small RNA, 82 nt
Filed under: Chryseobacterium contaminans
Lineage: Bacteria; Pseudomonadati; Bacteroidota; Flavobacteriia; Flavobacteriales; Weeksellaceae
Description: Flavo-1 RNA
Rfam family: Flavo-1 RNA
Source: RNAcentral